This 207-nucleotide ribosomal RNA is filed under the name uncultured bacterium. Its description in RNAcentral is "partial 16S ribosomal RNA". It matches the Rfam family "Bacterial small subunit ribosomal RNA", at positions 568 to 774 of the family's 1533-position model. The record is from RNAcentral.
CAUGUAGGCGGGGAAACAAGUCAGAUGUGAAAUACUGCGGCUCAACUGCAGAAUUGCAUCUGAAACUGUAUCUCUUGAGUACUGGAGAGGAAAGCGGAAUUCCUAGUGUAGCGGUGAAAUGCGUAGAUAUUAGGAGGAACACCGGUGGCGAAGGCGGCUUUCUGGACAGUAACUGACGCUGAGAUGCGAAAGCGUGGGGAGCAAACA